GCCUCCAUUCGCUCCGCGGGUGGCCUUCAUGGUGAACAAAACACAUGACCCCGAGUACCCGAGGCGGAAGGUGUCCGGCAUCAGUGCUCAGAAAGUUGUUCCACCUUCCACCA
Sus scrofa (pig) is the source of this 113-nucleotide non-coding RNA. Lineage: Eukaryota; Metazoa; Chordata; Mammalia; Artiodactyla; Suidae. The record is from RefSeq and is a predicted model, not a curated record.